GGCUGUUUAAGUUACUUCAACGGCCAUUGGCAAAGCUAAUAUUUGUUCUUCGAGCUCCGAAAAGUGAAGAAGGAUAUGCUGCCAUUGGUGGCGGCUCGCCUUUGCGUAAAAUAACCGAUGAACAGGCAAAUGCUCUUCGAAUGGCUUUGGAGGCAAAUAAUGUGAAUGUCAGUAUGUAUGUUGGAAUGCGAUAUUGGUAUCCAUUCAUAGAGGAGGUCAUUGAGCAGAUUAAGCUAGACAAGAUAAAAAAGCUUGUUGUGCUGCCAUUAUAUCCUCAGUUCUCCAUUUCCACAACUGGAAGAGAUUGACAUGGAAUAUAAGCACUUAGCUCUUGAAUCCGGAAUCGAGAAUUGGGGUCGUGUUCCUGCCCUCCACAUGUAUGGUAGUGAAAAUACAAUAUGGUAGUUCUUUGCACUAUGUAGACGCAUGGUUAUAGUGAAGUUGUUAUUCUUGUAUGGUAUCUCAUUGAUUUUGUAUAUAUAUUCUCUUAGACUUCUGUAUAUUUUGAAAAACCGCACAUCUAUAAGGACCUAAAUAUCUAAAAGUUUUAAUUUUAGGUUGAUACAUUGUUGGACGGUAUCAAAUAGGAUGACAAAGGUUUAGCAGUGGCUAUAGCUCAAAAUGUUGACACUGGAGCCAUAUUAAUGCAAGGCUUUGUCAACAGGGGUGCACUAGCUACAACUAUCACUUCUAGGAAGGCAACGUUCUUCAGUCGAUCACGGGCAACAUUAUGGACAAAAGGAGAAACUUCCAACAAUUUCAUCAACAUUUAUGACAAAAGGAGAAACAAGUUAUGCGUGCAAUUUAGUUGGAGAGGUUUUUUGUUAGGUCAUGUAAGACUUUUGUUGGUUAAACUAUUAGAAAUUCAA
Molecule: long non-coding RNA, 869 nt
Organism: Gossypium raimondii (Peruvian cotton)
Lineage: Eukaryota; Viridiplantae; Streptophyta; Magnoliopsida; Malvales; Malvaceae
Exons: 3
Source: RefSeq, a predicted model, not a curated record